Molecule: transfer RNA, 74 nt
Filed under: Paramuricea clavata
Lineage: Eukaryota; Metazoa; Cnidaria; Anthozoa; Malacalcyonacea; Plexauridae
Rfam family: tRNA
About the family: Transfer RNA (tRNA) molecules are approximately 80 nucleotides in length. Their secondary structure includes four short double-helical elements and three loops (D, anti-codon, and T loops).
Source: Rfam by way of RNAcentral
ACCCCCGUGGUGCAAUGGAUUAGCUUGUUGGACUUCUAAUUCAAAGGUUGUGGGUUCGAGUCCCAUCGGGGGUG